CAAGAAGAUCGGAGCUGCAGCCAGCUCUAGAGGGAGAAAGAGGAGCCAAACAGAAAACAGAAGCUAAAUGAUGCAUUAAAAACCUGUUGGGGAUCACUACUCUGUGAGCGAUUCAAGGCGCGCAGACCCAGGUGAGGCGCUGGCAACCCGAAGUCCGCCGGGUUAGAGAAGCCAGAAGGAGCGCGGAGACCAGAGAGAACCGACUGGCGGUGAGAGGACAGUCCAGCAUCCUGGCUGCGGGCUAUGCUGCCGCGACAGGCUUUGUGAGCCUAGAGGCGGCACAGGAAGUCUCUCCCUUUGAAGGCCGGACAAGGAGUGAGGCAGCUCUGGUGACAGUUGCUGGACAUUAGGGUGGUUGGGGCAAAGCUGUUGGUGAGCACGCUCGGGAACGAACUGGGCGCGCGUCCCCACAUCCGAAUGGCUGAAGGUGUUUUAAAAAGCCUAUUUGAAAAAUAAACAAUCUGGGAGUAAUCUUGAUUAUAUUUCCCCAGUUGAGGGGGUUCAUUUUUGUUCUGCUUUUGUUUUUUAAUCCUAAAGCACAUAUUCGCUUAUGAAUGCUACGAAGCUGCGGGCCCGGAGAUGCGUGUUGGUGGAGGUUUUCUGCAAACUGCAUUGUGCAGCCCUUGCCUCUGGAAUUCGGAAGCCGCUGCAAAGACAGAAACUAAAAAUUGCUUGAGCUCUGGAAGCUGCAGCCUCUGGCGACGGUUAGAGCUUUCAGUAGGGACUCAUAGAUAGAUCCAUGGGCGGCAACUCUGCUUCUCACCUUCAAGACCUCAUCUGCCAAGAUAUCUGUCUUUUUCCGUUUAGACUCUCUUAAGGACUUCCUGAUGGAAAACCGCCAAGGCUGGAAGCCUUCCAGGAGCACAACCUUACAGCUUGAAAACUCAGGGCGGGGUUCAAUCCAGGUUCGCGCAGCUUGAGGCUCGCAGUGUAGGACCUCUUCAAGAAAAAAAAAUAUACAACAUCAGACUAAAUUAGGAAUCAAAGUAAAUAUUAGCUUAGCAUGCAAAAAGCAGUGUCAAUAAAUUAUACAAUUUAAAAAACCGACAAAUACCGCAACCAAAAAAAAUCCUGAUAAAUAUUUCUAAUAGUUGCCUGAACAACUGCUAUAUUUUCCUAUAUUUUUAGUUUUCUACUAUUUGAUUAACUCUUAAUUUGAUAACAGUUUGAAAUGUGUUUUCUUGGUUCAGAAUAAUUUGGUAUCUCUUCUAAAUGUGGUUAAUUUAAAAAAAUUUUAAGUUACUAUUGAAAAUUUAGAAAAGUUGAUUUUUAUUUCACAAUCAUUGAUAAUCGCAUGUCAAUUUUUAAUGCACUCAUUUGGAAGGCUGCCAAUGCUAAGAGUUUCUUUUAUGAUCCUAAGAUUUUUUCAAGACAUUUCAAGUUUCCUUUGGUAGUGACUCACUCUAUAAAUUGCUUAUGGUCAUUGACUUGUUCAUUGCUAAAUCCUUCUGGUAAAGUCCUUCUGGUAAAUAUCUGUGUAGAUAUUUUAUGCCAAAUCAACAAAAAAUUAAAAAUUUCUA
This is a long non-coding RNA of Marmota flaviventris (yellow-bellied marmot), 1520 nucleotides long. RefSeq lists it as uncharacterized. The record is from RefSeq and is a predicted model, not a curated record. NCBI's taxonomy places the organism in Eukaryota, Metazoa, Chordata, Mammalia, Rodentia, Sciuridae.